GUAGGUGGCAAGCGUUGUCCGGAAUUAUUGGGCGUAAAGCGCGCGCAGGCGGUUCUUUAAGUCUGAUGUGAAAGCCCACGGCUCAACCGUGGAGGGUCAUUGGAAACUGGAGAACUUGAGUACAGAAGAGGAAAGCGGAAUUCCACGUGUAGCGGUGAAAUGCGUAGAGAUGUGGAGGAACACCAGAGGCGAAGGCGGCUUUUCUGGUCUGUAACUGACGCUGAGGCGCGAAAGCGUGGGGAGCAAACAGGGAUUAGAUACCCUGGUAGUCCACGCCGUAAACGAUGAGUGCUAAGUGUUCGGGGGUUUCCGCCCCCUUAGUGCUGCAGCUAACGCAUUAAGCACUCCGCCUGGGGAGUACGACCGCAAGGUUG
RNAcentral lists this ribosomal RNA (374 nucleotides) under uncultured organism. RNAcentral's name for it is "partial 16S ribosomal RNA". It matches the Rfam family "Bacterial small subunit ribosomal RNA", at positions 527 to 896 of the family's 1533-position model. The record is from RNAcentral.